UUCGAUGGAGUCCAACUUAUCAGUCUUUUAUCACUUUUGCUUUUGGUUUCUUAGCCAAGAAAUCGUUAGCUAACUCAAGUUCAUGAAGAUUUACUCUUGUGUCUUUGUCUGUUUUAUUGUUUCACCUCUUGCAUUUAAGUUUGUGAUCAACUCUGAGUUGAUUAUUUUGUGUGAUGUGAGUUGGAGUUCAAAUUUAUUCUUUUGCGUCUGGAUAUCCACUUUUCCCAGGACCAUUUGUUGGAAAGGUAUUUUUCCUUGUUCCUUUGUCAAAAUCAGUUGACUGACUAUGAAUGUUAAAGAGCUUAUUUCUGGGCUGUGGGUCCUGUUCCGUUGAUCUGUACAUCUCUCUGGUGCUUGCUGUGGCUCUGUAGUAAGUUUUGAAGUCAGGAAGUGUGUCUGCCACCUUCUUCAAGGUUGUGGCUGUUGUGUUUUGCAUUUUCAUAUGAGUUUUAGGAUGUUUGUCAAUUUCUACAAACAUAAGUCAUCACAGAACUACAGAUCCAUUCAGCUGAGGUCAUGGAACGCCUGUGUUUCUUAAAUGGGCACAUAGCUCCAGCAUGUCUAAUACUUCUAACACCUUCACUAAUCUGGUUCUUCAUUCAGCUAACACCUAUUAUAUACCUGCCAGGGGCCAAGGUCACUGUCGGAUCCUGAGUACACAGCGAUCAGUAAGAUCUGGUUUCUGUCCUCAGAUACCUCCAAUCUCAUGGAGCUGAUAAAUUACACACGUAGUAGAGGGAUAGCAUUACCGAGGUUUAUAUAGAGAUGCCGUGCAAGGGAGUGAAGGUCCGGCGGAGUGGUUCGCACCGGGUGUGGGCUCUGCGGCACUUCUGAGAGCUUUAUGUGCGUGAACUCACCUCAUCUUUACAAGUCCUGUGACACAGGCACCGUUUUUCUCCCCAAGAUACAGAUAAGGAUCCAGCCUUUUGAAAACUUUCUAAUAAAUAUAAAAUUAUCUCAAAGGCUCCUUUAAAGUUCUUGGAGAUUCCAGAAUAUGAUUCAAACCAAGUCAAAAGAGUGAGCAGAGUAUCGUUUUGUUUUCAAGCGGUACACACGCCACCCCCACCCCUUCUGCCACCCCACCCAGGAUUGGCUGCCCCAUCCCCACGACUAUGCAGAGUGGACAACAGGCCUCCUCAGGAAGAGGGGGCGGGGGCUCUGGGGGUGAGUCUUACCCAGUAAGCAGUUUGAGGAUGAAGAGUCUGAGAGUGUCCUUGCGCAGUUGUGAUGAGAUGGGACCCGGAGGUGCUGAGACAGAGGGACAGGCACAGGACAGACACGAGCGGCUUCCUGAGUGCUGCAGCGUCAAGCGGGAGACGGAGUGAAACCGUGUGCAGUGCUUGUGCGUAGAAAUCCACGAAUAGGGUGUAGAAUUGUCUGCUGUGAUGUGGGCCAUUAGGAUUUCAGGGCCACGUUUUGUCAGUGACUGAUAGCUGUGCGCACUCAUAGAAUCCAGCAUGUAUUUAUCCACCUAGUAUUUGAUGACUCCAGAUAUUUUUGAGUGCUGUGUCCUGGCCUAGUUAUUAAGUUUAUCCCUAUAACUAUCCUCAGAUCCAGUAAAGUAGGAAUCAGCCAGAGCAGAGCAGAGGAAAGGCACUUUUCCUUUAACUGGCAGGCACUGUACCAGGUGGUGGUUUACAGGUGUUUUUUAAUUGAAUCCUCAGAAUGGCACCGAGGUAAGUGGACUUCCCACCUUUAACGAAGAAGACUCAGAGGUAAGUGGUAUCGCAGAGCCCAGCUGGCUUGCCUUCAGAGUCACUGCGCUUUCUCUCAGAACUGCUGCUCUCAGCGCCACCGGAGGAAGCCCUAGGGAGACAUGACUAAUGGUUGCUGACUUUACCUAACUGUGCUCAUUUAUGAACUCCACGGAUACUUACCGAGUACUGUCAGGUGUCAGGCAUUAUGCUAGACACAAGGGAAGAGGAGAGACCAGAACAAGCAUGACCCUGACCCCGUGGAGUUUCUGUUCUGGUGGGAGCUAGAUCUUUAGAUCGACAGGCACUUCGCUGUAUGCGUUCAGGACAGGUGUCCUGUUGCAGACACACGUGCACGCGUACAUGCAUCCAUACAUAAUUACAUAGCUUUGGGUUUGUUUUCUAUAAAGGGAGCGGGAUGAAACUUUUGUGUACGUGGAGUAACAAGUUGAGGUCUUUAUACCGCACCCUGUACGUAGAAGUUCAGAGAAAUCUGUACAGUAAAACUCCUUUAUGAGUUGUGUUUACAUUCUGCUUAGAAAGGUUUCUUUGUUUGUUUUUUAAAGUUCCAUAAUGGAAAAUUUCACAUUUAUUCAGAAGUGGAAAGGAGAGGUUACUAAACCCCCAUGUACCUGUCACUGACCUUCAGUAAUUACCAACUGGUGACCAAUCUCGUAGAGAGGCAAUUACUGCAGAAGGAAGUGUGCAAGUUACAACUGAAACUCUGCUAAAAUCUGCUGAGGAAGCCCAAGGGAUGAGGGUCAGUGGGACUGAGACGGAUGAUUACAAACAACAAGAGGACGGCCACGUGAGCGAAGGGCUCCCGCCUGGGCGCAGCAAACACCUGGAAGUAGACAGAGUCAUGACCGGUGACAGAGUUUCAGAACCCAGCACGCUAGCUUCCCUAGAGCCUUUGAACUUUGUGGGCCCUGGAUCAACAGAAGCAACUCCUGAAGAAACAGAAUGUGAAGCAUUAAAAGCCUGUCCUCCUUGGUCGCUGUCAUUACCAGGGAACAGUGCCAUUUCCCAAGUGGAUGGUGGGAAGGAAGAGUUGUGUAAAUUGGACCUUACCUGUGAAGCAGAUGACAAUCAGCAGCGGAUUCUUGGCCACCAUAAUGAGAGACACAGUUCCCCAUGUGGCAGCCCCAAAGCCGCGAGGAGUGUGGUUGUGGUAGAAGAAAAUUCUGUUUCAGAAGAAGAUUCUGAAGUUUCACAUCUCACAUCAAGUUUGUCUGGUCCAGAAUCCAGAACAGCAUCCUUAGCAAAGUGCAAUUUUGAAGGUGACAGCUUGCUGAAGGGAUCUGUUGAAAAGACAGACAGUUCCUGUUUGGAUGGGGACGAUCAAAGUGUGAACUUGGCUUCCAGAGAAGAAAAUGAACAGCUUUCGAGCCCCAGGAGUGAAAGAGGGGAACCCUUUCUUGUUAGUGCCAGGCAGCCAGAAGAGGAUGCUAGUAGUCAUCAUUCUGGAAAAAACCAGACCGCUGACGUCCCCAAAGAAAACACCCAUACUAACUGCUGCCCUCGAGGCAGUGUCCGCACAGACAGCCCUAGUUCUACAGUGCCCAGUUCUUUAACCGAAGCCAGGGAAGUAAUGUUUGAAAAAAAUGAUUUGAAAAUCACUGUAGACAUUCAAGGUAGCUUGGCAAACCAUGAGGACCAUAGGAUAACUUUUCCUGAUAUGAGCCGUCUGGGUACGCACUCUUCCUCUGUGAUGCUGACGGAAGGGCCAGAACAGACAGCCACUGUCAGGCCCAGUGUGUCAAGUGAGAAGAGUCACAGUGAAUACUCCUUAGACAGCACCCACAGAAAUCUGGAUGGCAACACCGAGUUAGAUGAAGCAUCACAUAAUGAAUUUCCAACUGAAAGAGAAUCCCUCGUGAGUUUAACGCCAGAGGACCAGUUAAAUUCCAUAAAUGACGUAUCCAAACCCAAGAAAGAUCUUGCUCCGUUACCGCCAUCCCCAGAGUUCCAGGACAGACCUGAGUCAGAAGAAGCCACACACAACUCCCAGGACGGUGGUCCACACAUAGAUGAACAGAGCACUGCCUGGGAGACGAAUGAACUUUCUUGCACCAAUGAACUGGCCGUAAACAAAUUAGGAAGUGAAUGUGUUUUAAAACAAGUGUCCCUUAAUUCUCAAAACCACGCAAAGUUGCCAACUGACAAAGAUGUGCCUGUAGCAGCGAGCGAGGGGGUUUCCCAACAGAACCAACACCCUCCGUUAGAGGCUGGAGCAGAUGUCCUUGCUGGUACUCAGACCCCUCCCAUGAAGACAGGAAUGGAAGACAUCUCUCCACCAGGUGACAAAACCUGUGGUGCCUCUUCAAACAGUCCCACCUUAAACAGACCAGGGAGCCUAGAAAGAAAAGCCGAAAUGGCUGCUCCAGGAGCAGAAGAUGCACAUUCCAGGCUCCCCUCAAACAAGAAAGAAGCAGCAGACUUGCCUCAAGAAGCCUCUGCCAUGGAAUGUCAAAGUGUCCAACUGCAGGACCUCUCGAGCCGCCCUUGUGUGAGAAGGAAUGCACCUGAGGAGAGCAUGUGUCCCACCCAUGCUGCCUUGGAGCCCAGCAAAACCCUCAUGGGAGCUGAAAACCCUCCAAUAACCAAGUACAAAAAUGCAUUUCAGCACAGCGACUGCUGCCCCCAAGGGAGAGAAGGCUCCAUGAAAAGUAACGCCCAUAAAGUGAGUGGUACAUCAGAGAGUGAACCUGAUGGGAGAGGAACUAAAGGCAGCCUUCCAGGAGGCGAGGCCAGAAAUGAGACGCCAGCAGGCACAUCAGGUAGUGAAGCUUCACACAAAACCGCUCACACUGCGCUGCACAGCCGACCCGGCGGGGAAGGGCUGGAGAGAGGAGAACAGGAUGUCCCCAAGGAGACCAUGUGUCACAAAGGUGACAUCUCUGAUUGUGCCGCACGGGAGCAAAACCAGCCUACAGAUACUCCAAGCCCUGAGAGAUUGCUGGACCAGUUUCCUACUGUUCUGCCCUCCGGUGUUAAAAGCAUGAACCAAGCUGCUGAAACUCUUGAGCAGAAGGCCGAUGAGGCCCUCAGCUGCCAGAGUAACCUGGAUAGACCAGACAAAUGCAGAAAUGAAGAUAACUCAGCCAAGGAGAUGCCGGGAGGUGACCAGAGAGAGACAGUCACAGAGCCCAGCAGAGUGGGGAGCCAGGGCCGGGAGGGUCUCCUGAUCAGUGCAGGCAAUAACAGCUCACGGUCUGGUGGACGUCCAAAGGAAGGGGCCUUCAGAAGGGUUUCUGGUCGUGAGGAGUCCGCAGACGGCAUGGUAGACUUCGUCCACGCGGGCUGCGGGAAGGAGCCCACAGAAAGCGUUCCAGACGAAAGGGCGCCGAGCACACUUGAUGGUGGUGCAGGUCAUUUUGGGCCGAUGUUACAUGAAACCCCACGGAGUACUCUGUCCCAGAGAGGGGAGCCCAGCCUUGCAUUCCUGGGAGAGAUGGACCCGGAUUCGGAUUUCCAAGAUGCUGCUUCCCCUGCGGUGGAAUCUCUCGAAAUGAAAAACUCAUGUGAAGACAAAGUACGGGGAGCAUCAGAAGACUGUGAAAUGGAAGUGUGUCCAGACUCUCGGACCCGUGAGGUAGAGUUUGCUGCAGAUCAUGAGCCAAAUGUUAGAAGAUUGGGUAGGGAAAGUGUGUCUUUAAAUUACAUUCAUCAUGAACAGAAACCUCAAGAAGCAUCUCUGAGAGGAGCACAAGGAAUGAUGGAGCGACCAAGACAAGAAAUAAAUUCUGAGUUUGACAAGGAAGACCUCUGUGGAAUUUGCUCAGAGGAGCUGGUAUCUUUUGGACACCGAGGUGAGAACUCUGUUCCCCCAGAAAACCUGAAGUCCAUUGAGAUAACGCCUUUGUGCCUGUCGUCCCAAGAAAAAUCAGAAACUAAUAUUAACAGUGGAGCAUCUGAUCUGAAAAGCCUUUUUAAGCCAAAAGAUGGUGAAGUGCCCUGUGAAGACGUGGAGGUCCUGCCUGAGGUGGAGGAGGGGGCCCCAUGGGGUAAGAAGGAUCCUGGCGUAGGAGACAGCAUGGCCAUUGGCAUGAGGAGCCCGCCUUUAACAGCAGAGACCAAGCCUGCAGCGAGCAGGGAGGGCACCGGAGACCAGGGCUGGCUGCGGGGCCCUGUGGCUGCCGGGAAGGAAUCUGAAGAGAUACGUGUCCAACAAGGGGGUCCCGGGGAGAUCACAAGUGAGACUUCUCAAGUGCACCUCAGUCCCCAGGGGGAUCCCGGUGAUGCGGAAGAGCAACACGGCAGGGAGAAAGAGGGCCAGAUGCAGCCAGAAGCAGGUACCACGUGGGCGCAACACACAGCCCCUUCUCUGUUGUCAGAUGAGCUGCGAAGGGAGAGCCGUCUUCGGGGCUGUGGAGAUGAGCCCUUCACUGUGGGAGAAGUCGCCCCCGCAGAGCCGGCCACAGGCAGCACUGCUGUGGGGGUUCAGGAGCCCAGGGACCCAAAUGGAAGCUGGUGCCAUCCAUUAAGAGAGGGCUCCACGCCAUGUGCAGGCCCCAGCCUCCAGGGAGCCCCCCGGGGAGCACCAGGCCCCAGGCCCACCGGGCGCGGGGACCUCAGCGGUGCCUUUGGGAACACUUCACACUGGAGAGGGGUGCUUCCCCUAAAGAAGCAGCCCCCCCGAACGUGUAAGAAGGUUUCCUGUCAGGAGCAAGUCAACAUGGGGAGGAAAAUGAGUAAAAUCAGAAGUUCUGCCUUUUUCAAGAGCUCCUCUGAAACCAUCCCCACGAAAACACACAGGUUUCUCAGCUCGCACGCCGUGGCCGCAGCCUCGCCACCGGAACCCAAGACAGCCCUGGCCUGGAGCCCCGGGAGCCUCAGAAGCCCCGCACCAAAGCAGCCGGCAGCCCCGGGCCACCUCUCAGGGAGCCCGAAUGUUCGGAAGCCUACCAAAGAGUCAGCCUUACUCAGCAAGCUGUCCAGCCUGGCCUCCAGACUGGCCCCGGCCGCACAGGCCCAGGAGCUGGGGCGUCGGUGCUCCUCGGAGCUUCUCCCGGUGGCCGGAAGCCACAAGCGGCUCAGAUACCGCCAACUCCUGGAUGGGUUUUCACGCAGCACCGCGCAGCUGAAUCCAUGUCUGGCAGCCAGCCGUUGGGACAAGAGGCCCACUAGUAAACCCCUGACACUUUGUUCGCUCGAAGCCAUCAAAAUGAGCUUCAUGGAUCUGGGCGCCAAGAUGCCAUCACUGCUGUUUGGUUCCGAAGUCUUCCCAGUCUCCUUCCACAUGAAGUCGGGCUCCGAGCUUGGGACUGAGUCCCCGAGGACUUUUCCCGAGCACUGUGCGCCCGCGAGGCUCGCCUUAGGAGAGGCCGCCCAGUGUCCAUCUCCGCCGCCCAAGUGGACCUUCUCUUUCUUCCUGGCCCAUGGUUGCCCUGGGGUGGCCACAUUCAGGGAAGACGCUGGUGUCCGGGGUCAGGCAGGUACCCGGCCUCCCCCACAGCCUCCAGUUCCUCUCCAGGACCAUGGAGCCGCCGCCAUAGUCCAGACCAGAGCCAGCUGCUCCGUCCUUGGCCUUCACACACUCCUAGCACUUUGUUCCCCAGGAUGUUACCGAAUCUGGACGAAAAAACGGAGCUUCUCCAGUCACAUGCCCACCAUGCAGAGGCUCUUCUUGACCCAGUUUACACAGGGCUUGAAAGGGCUAAGGUCUCCAGCCUCCCCGGCAGAUGAGGCCUUCUGUUCUCUGCCCUUCUCGGUGGGCCGAGUGCUGUCCAUUUGGAGCCAGCAUGGGCCUUCUGCCUGCCCCUUGGAAGUCUCCGCUCUUCAUUCCUCUCCCAGCAAGCAGCAGCCAACUCUGGGCACCCCAAGCAGCCACACCCUGUUACCGUAUGUGCCUAUCCCGGGCAUGGAGGCUGCUUAUACCACCAGCGGCAGUCACAUGAGGCUGGAGCCUCCAUUCCCUGCUUUGGUACCAAAGUCUCGCUUGGUAACAGACUCAGCUGUCAGCAAGCUCCUGCUUUCAGCCUCUGAGCUCCAGGUUCCCGGAUUUGAUGAACUGGAUGGUGUGACAGCAGUGUGUCCCCGACCACAGAGCAGCCCUCCGGAGCAGAAAGAGGCGGAGCCAGAGAAGAGGCCAAAGAAAGUCUCACAGAUUCGCAUCCGGAAAACCAUUCCUAAGCCAGACCCUAACCUCACCCCCAUGGGCCUUCCUCGACCCAAAAGGUUAAAGAAAAAGGAGUUUAGUUUAGAAGAAAUAUAUACCAAUAAGAACUAUAAAUCUCCUCCUGCAAACAGGUGUCUAGAGACCAUCUUUGAGGAACCCAAGGAACGAAAUGGUACGCUCAUCUCAAUCAGCCAGCAGAAGAGGAAGCGCGUUCUAGAGUUUCAGGAUUUCACAGUCCCGCGGAAGAGGCGGGCACGUGGGAGCUCCUGUUGGACGGCUUGCAAACUCCCAGCAGAUCAACUGAGCCCUGCUCGCCAGCUCCAUUGCCAGUGUAGACGAGUCAGCACCUUGGCAACCACGUCAUCCUGCAGACUGAAGUUGUGGGAGCAGCUGUGCCGUCACCAGCCUUGUGGAGAUGCAGUUUCCGGUUCACCUGGGGCAAGCGUGACACUUGGAAGGGCCAGGAGUGGUGAUUUGGAACAUUGGCUUCUGGGAAGGGAGGCUUGGAGAAAGUGGAAACUGGGGGCCCUCCUUGUCCUGGGAAUGCAGGAGAAAGCUCUCUGAGGCCAACCCCUCCCUGUGUUCUUGGCCUGCCUCUGGCCCCGGCCCUUCCUCAUUUCAAAGUGAAGAAAGGGCCCCCAUAGCAAACUUGAAAUUGCUCACCUGAAGUUGCCACAUCGGAUUUUAGCUCAGCCCCACCUGUCUUAACCUCCGUGUUUACCGUCAGCCUAGCCAGCUGCAGCACCGCCCAUGGUCCUCAGAGACCGGGGUGCCUGCCCCUGUCGGGGACGCCGGGCGGCUGCGGGCCACCCCCUGCGGGCCACCCCCUGCCCGGAGUCAUGGGCAGUCUGCUGCUGGCGUGGGAGUGGGUGCAGUUUCCAAGAACGGGAGGCUUCCCACCCCAAGCGAUAGGGAGUGUGGUUAAUAAUUAAUUCGACUUUAAGCUCAAGAGAUUUAGUGUUUUUAAUAUGGGAAAGAGGAGAAAUCUCAGGUCCAAUCAGCUUUUCACUGAAGUUUUCAACUGUGUUUUUGUUUUCCAUCCGUCAGUUUUGAGCUAUGUUUGCCCUUCCCCCCCUUCCUCUCCUUCUGUCUUUCGGUUUCCUUUCCAGCUUCGUUUCUCUGUUCGUUUAAACGCACCUCAUCGCGUUACAGCAGAUCAUGUCCGCGUUUUCUCGCUGACCUUCCUCGGGGAACGGCAGCUGCGGGAGGGACAGUGGAGAGACACGUAGCGAUUGCCUUACUUGGAGCCCGGAGAGCUCAGAAACUCGCGCUGUGAGUCCCAAAACUCAGCGCUCCCCCAGAGCUGUGAAGAUCAUGACAGUCUGUCACAGUUUUGCCUGAAAGGGUCUUUUGCGCGGGCGCCAGAGCCAACCUAAGGUGAAUUCCAGACCCCACCCCAGACACGAUCCUCCCCACCCGCCAGGCUGAGAGCAGCGGAGGGUGCAGCCGGGCAGCCGGCCCAGGGCUCAGCACAGCCCGACGGAAACAGCCAGUGCUCUGUCUCCAGGCUGGGAUUUCAUCUCAUCACCAAUACCGUGUAUGUUAAAGUCCGCGAAAGUCCAACUUUUAGGCAGCGGUACUUUUCUCCCAUCCCCUGGGGGGAGAGUAUGCAGUUGGUGCUUUCUUGAAUUCCCUUGUUGUGUUUUGUUUCCAUAAGCUUUUCCCCGAAUCAUGGAAAGGACCCCUGAACACCGUACUGUGGGCGGCUGUAUCCAGAGCCUCAGUUAUUGGCCAGAGGUGCAGCAUGCCCUUUCCUGGACUCAUGCAAGGGAAGGGCUCCUCACCACAGCUGAACUUCUCAUAGAAUUAAAAAGCUGACUGGAAAGGAAGGAUUAAUUUUACUAAAAUCAAAGGUUAGUAUGACCACCUAGCCACAAAUCAAGCAGCGAAGUCCACUUAUUUUGAUGGUGAAGUGAGGGUCCCUGUCCCGCUGGCCACCCAGCACAGCAAACCCUCAGGCUCAAUGCCUGUUUGCUGUGUGUCUUCACGAACCCCUCUCUGGUGCUGAAUCAGAUUUUAAUUCUUGGUGAGAGGCCUCAGCAUCUCCUUGGGCUGUUCUGGGCCGGAAAAUCGCUGCCUGAAGUGUUUAUAUAUUAUCAUGGUCAGUAGUUGAGUGAAAUUUGUACAUUUUUGGUAACAUUGGCAAACCUGAUGCCCCUGCAGUCCCUUUUCUGUUUGGUAGUUUGUGACUCUAAAAUUCCCACUGUUGUGUGUGUUAAUUUAUGAAAAUAAAAAAAAUUUUUUUUUUUUGGAUAAUCUUUCAAGUAACUCUUGAGGGUGUUAUUCUUUUGGCUUCAUAAGUUAAAAGUUGACCUGUAAAGUCAUAAAGUUGUGUUUUUCUUUUAUUUAAAUAGACAUUCCAAAGUUACCUAUCACAGCGAGCAUUGUCCCUUCCACAGUGGUCCCCGUUUUCUCAGGACUGUCCUGUGCUCAGAACAUAUGGUGAACUCCACCUUCAUGUGACCUUCUGAGCCUGUGCUGGAGCUUUUUAAGUUUGCUCAGAGGUGGCAGAUCAUCUCUUGUGAGGGAAUUUGGUGUUUGGAAACAGCCAAGACUCAGAUUGGAGUCACACCCAAUGAAGUUGGGUCAGGCUGCCCAACGAGUAUUUCAGGUGUGAUUUUUGAACACCUGGAAGAGCAAACAGCAGUUAAAGUUCAGGUCAAAAUAAAUUUCAGAUAUUCACUACAUAUUUGGAAUAAGAGCUUAGCUUGUUAAGGAAGCUCCUUGUGAGAGUACAAAUACGGUGGAAUAUGUUCAUUUACUUUUAAAAAGGUCUCACCUUUUAUCAUAUCCUUCGCAGCUGUACGUGAGGUUAGGCUGUGAGUCUUCUGGGUCUCACCUCCUUGUUUAACCAGUGCAUACUGGUGAGAGAGUGACUCUGGAAACACGGCUCCUUAACCCCACGCUUAUGUGUUCCGGAAAGAAGCGUGAUUCCUGAGAGUGUCCUUCCUCUGUCCAGAGGAAAAGCGGUGCCCCAUUUCCCUUGCCGGCCUCCUUCCAAUUCUUAGGCUUCCGCAAUAAAGAUCUCUGUGUCAUCUGUCACAUUGGGGAGCAUCCUUCCUGGCAGCUGUUUUUCUGCUGUGGUUCGGUUUCAUGGUGACUUGGGGAAGAGUCCUCUUCUGCACCUCUUCUUCCUUUAGGAGGGAGAGGCAUGACCACCCACGGCAGUGUUAGCCCUUGAGCAUCCCCCAUCACAGAAUCUUCAGUCCUGAGAGUGAGGACUGGUUGAAACAUGGAAGGAUCCCCAACCGUGUCCUGCCCUCCUCAUGUGAUGGACACCUCAUUUCUGCAGCUGGUUCUGGGACCUCUCUUGAGAACUGUUCUAGAGAAUUCCCAAUUCUUCAAUCUCCAGGGCCACAGUUACUCUUCAGAGGACUCAUUGCUGGCCUCACACCAUCUGAUUGGCUGUAGCUCAAGGCGGGGCGGGGCCAGCCAAGGAGUUCCCACCUCUGCACAGCAUCCUGUGAGAUGGCCCACCUGGGAGACUCUUGGAGAUGGUAAGAUGGUUCCUGGAAGAGUGCAAACACGGGGGCAAGUACCCCCUAGGUACUGCAACAGCUGAUAAGUCUGGGCGCCCCUCACAUCCUUCCCCAACUGCUGCCAGCCCAAGGGAUCUUGGAAAAACAGUUUUGCGCUUGUCAGAACCUCUCCCUUAAGAUCCUUCCGUGGUGUUCCCCUCACCCCCAGAUAAGGAUGGUAACUGUCAGUUACUGACCAAGCGCCAAGCAUUUGGUAUUUAUCACCUUCGUGAAUCCUCACAACAACUUGGUGAGGUAGAUGUGGUUUUUAAUCUCCACUUUGUAGAUGAGGAAACUGAGGUAUAAAGACAGAUUAGAUGUCCCAUCUGCACAGGAAGUGUUAGAGCCCUGGUCUGCUGAUCAGGAGGACCUGUGCUGGCAAACCUGACAUCUCUGCCCCCUCUUUCCUCUGCAGCCCCAUCCCUCCACCACUCGGAAUUUCCUCCAGUUCCUCAAAUCCUCCAUGCUGUCCUUGACUGGACGCUCUGGGCUGGGGCUGGGGCUGGCGAACAAGGCCUUGCCCUCCGGAAGCUCGUGGUGGGUAGGGGAUGUGGGCGAGUGAGCAGGCAGUUCAGAGGAUGGGGCGUGCAUGGGCUGAGCAAGCAUCUAAGAGGGGUGACCAACAGAGGAGGGGGUGACCACGCUGGGGAAGGCCUCCAGAGAUCUGCCGAAACUGCCACAGCCACCUUGGUGUUGUGGUUUGACAAAGUAUUGGCGUCCACCACCAAGGGGCCAGAGCUGCUGCCUCCUAAGUGUUCUCCUUUCACGGGUCCAGGAUUUGAAGGUUGAUUGUUGUCACUGCCAAAAUCGUGGUAGCUUCCACCAGCCCCAAAACUGUUUCCAUCAUCACCAAACCCAUUAUAGCCUCCCAACCCGACCACCACCUGGCUGCCACCAAAGUCACCUCCACCACCAAUGUUGUCAUUCCCACCAAAACCACCCCCACGACCACCACCCAAGUUCCCAGAACCACUUCAGCCUCUGGCUGGACAAAGCCCUGGCCAUCUCUUGCCUGGACAGGGGUUUCCUCACUUCACCAUUGUGGCCAUUCACAGUGCGGUACUUCUGAAUGACAGCUUGUGGAGUCACAAAGGUCACAAAAGCAGAGUCUCUCUUACCACCCCCUUGGUCGGUCAGGAUUUCACCCACUUCAGUUCUCCCGCAAUGUCCACACUAACCUCGUGGGUGACGUCCCCCAGUGCUGUCUUUCCUGCCACCCACAGAAAGCUCUUCUACAGUGAAAUGGGCACCUGGUCCUGGAGAACCUCCUCUCAAGAGCCCUCUGUUUCCACCACUUUCCCGUCCCCUUCUCGUGGCACUGCCUUCCCGGUUGCACCCGCCUUUUCCACGGGGACGCUUGGCGUCUCGGUCUCCCACCCACAUAGUGGUGGGCGUUCCCCACGGCUCAAAAUCCACCCUCCGACUCACCCGCUGUUUCAAAGCCCAGCUCUCCCCGGAGCCCUUCCGCGGCUGUUCCAGCCCUUUUCGAGCCUGGCUUAGACGCGGCAGAAGCAGAAGGGGAGGUUGGAAGGAUGCUUACUCUCCAGCAUCCACAGGCAGGAAGGAGGGGUGUAUUUUUUUAAGUACAUAAAUCACAUACUUAGUACGUAUCCAUUGGCAUCUUGGUUAUUUUCAAUCAACAUUUUAUUUUUGAGAUUUGCUCAGGUUGAUAUACAGAGAUCUGGGCCAUUUCUUUGCUGUAGAAAAGACCAUCACAGAAAGGUAAUUGGGGAAGGUCUUCACCAAUAGAGGUUCAGAGUCUAUUGGAAGAGACCUGGAAUUGUCCAGAGACCUCUGUUCCAGGAAAGCAAAGGUCAAACUGGGUUCUUCUGCAAAAGGAUUUUCCAAUUAAGGAUUAAGAACAUCAUUACAACAAAGCUGUCAAAGUGUCAGUAUCUCCUCUUGGCCUUGGGAAAAAAAUGCAUCUUAGAAGAAGGAGGCGAUAGCCUCAUUUGGCACGUUGCCUCGUCUCCCUGUGAUGUUCCAGGUGGGUGUGAUGAAAUAAGUGAUGUAUCUGUCACCUCCACAACUCAGAGGAAACUUCCUUUUAAAGAACUGGUCAUCUCAAGCAGUUAAUACAAUUAUUGGCAAGAUUAAGUCAAAGCUGAAAUUAAAGUGAGCAAAACCUUAAAGUUAUACAUUUUUAAAGAAUUCCUUUGGAAAGAAAAAUAGUAAAAAAUAGAAUAAGCUGUUUAGUUACCCUCGCAUCAUAUACACAAAAUCUGAAUUAGAAUAUAUGCCGUGUGUGUGUGUGCAUGUGUGUGUGAGCUAUCGUUGCAAUGUUGUCAUGUAACAAACUACCCCGGAUUCGGUGGAGGACAACAGUGAGCAUUUACUCUCGUGCCGGUGGGUCUGCAGGUUGACUGUGGGUUGGCUCAGCAGAGCCUACCUGUAGUUUUGGUGCUGGCAGAUUUCAAGCAUCUCUCAUGCUCCUCGCCCUGGCAGCUCCCCAGAGCAAGAGGGCUAAGCCAAACCACACAGGCACUUUUAAGGCCUCUGCUGUUCUCUCAUCCCUAAAUGUUCCACCGACCAAAGCAAGUCACAUGGCCAAGCUCAACAUCAACCACACAGGGAAAAAUACUCUGCCCACGGUGGGAAGAAUUGCAGAGCUACGUGGGAAAGAGCGUGAACAGAGAACAGGGAGGGGCUGACGUGCUGAUUCAGUCCACCACGAUGUGUGAGUAAGGAACAAAACUGGUAACGGUUACGGGCCAAAGAAGCCAAAACCUUGCUCUACCUGAAAUGCAGUCUUAUAAACAGCAUGAAAGGUAAGAAAUCCUUUAUAAAAUCUGCUUUGCUAAACGAGUAAUCUUUGCCAGUGUUUCUGGCCCCAGCUUCAAAAACCCAGUAAUGAAAAUCUUAGCAGGAACCCUUGGAAUUUCUUCCUGGGACUGCAUGCUGCGAACCACUCAGAUUUUAAAGCUUCUGAAUCAGUUUCUUGCAACAUUAAGUUGGGUUUGCUGAAUGGGGUAAAAUGCCUUUGGCAUUCCUAGCAUCCGCCCCUACCUCAGCUCUGGACUCAGCGACCAGCAACAGAGUUCUAUUGUUAACUCCUCAGUACUCACAUUGUCCCAGUGUUCUUUGGAAGGCGCAGGAGUCAUACAAAGUCACCCUGAAAAAUGGUGGACAAUCUGGGUGAAACGGAGUCACUCAGACAUCAGGUUGGAGUAUCCAGCCCCACCAUUCACUCGCCGACCCUAAACCUGACAAAGCCGCGUGAUCUCUCCUUGUCUUUAAGAUGAAAGGCUUGAAUACGAGGGAUCCACCCUCAGCCACUCUUGCUACCCCCAAUCCAACUCUUGAUUUUUUUUAAUUAAACAUUUUAUUCUGACAUAAUUGUAGAUUGACAUACACUUAAGAAAUAAUACAGUAAAAGCCUGUCAUGCCCUUUACCCAUCUUCCCUCCAUGGUAACAUCUUGCAAAACUAUAUGAUAUCACAACAAUGCUGUCGUCAAUACAGCCAGGAAACAGGACAUUUCUGCUGUGGUCUCUGUCUUCCCACCUGAAUUCAUGUUCUGAAAUUCUAACCCCCAGAGAUGAUGCUCAUAGGAGGUGGGGGCUUUGGGAGGCGCUGAAGUCAUGUAGGAAGAGUUGCCUUGUAGUAGAGGGUCCAGAGAGACCCCUAGUCCCUUCCACCGAGUAAGAACACAACCAGAAGUCUGCAACCCAGAGAGGACCCUCACCUGACCAUGCUAGCACCUUGAUCUUGACCAUCUAGCCUCUAGACCCGUGAGAAAUAAAUUCCUAUUGUUUUUA
Molecule: RNA transcript, 15090 nt
Organism: Camelus dromedarius (Arabian camel)
Lineage: Eukaryota; Metazoa; Chordata; Mammalia; Artiodactyla; Camelidae
Gene: PRR14L
Gene name: proline rich 14 like
Exons: 10
Source: RefSeq, a predicted model, not a curated record